GUGUUUUAAUUUCUUCUAGUUUUCUGGAUUACUGUAACCACAACCUAAAUACUUUUUAUUAUGUAUGAUGACGUCUUAAAUUAUAUAAUUAUACGUUAUAUUUUGGGAUGUCACAAUUUAGUCCUUAGUCUUUUUUAGUUUAGUUUUUUUUUUUUUUGAAGUUUGUUUUAUUUUUAUUUUUUUUCUUAAUAAAAUUGUAAUUUUUAAUCUUUUAUGACGUUAAUUUUUUUUUACAUGGUUAGAGAUUCUAAUUUUGUUUCUGAGUA
This 266-nucleotide long non-coding RNA is filed under the name Vigna radiata. RNAcentral's name for it is "long non-coding RNA (VRAD_LNC018393)". The record is from RNAcentral. Lineage: Eukaryota; Viridiplantae; Streptophyta; Magnoliopsida; Fabales; Fabaceae.